GUAGGGUGCAAGCGUUAAUCGGAAUUACUGGGCGUAAAGCGUGCGCAGGCGGUUAUGCAAGACAGAUGUGAAAUCCCCGGGCUCAACCUGGGAACUGCAUUUGUGACUGCAUGGCUAGAGUACGGUAGAGGGGGAUGGAAUUCCGCGUGUAGCAGUGAAAUGCGUAGAUAUGCGGAGGAACACCGAUGGCGAAGGCAAUCCCCUGGACCUGUACUGACGCUCAUGCACGAAAGCGUGGGGAGCAAACAGGAUUAGAUACCCUGGUAGUCCACGCCCUAAACGAUGUCAACUGGUUGUUGGGAGGGUUUCUUCUCAGUAACGUAGCUAACGCGUGAAGUUGACCGCCUGGGGAGUACGGCCGCAAGGUUG
Molecule: ribosomal RNA, 369 nt
Filed under: uncultured bacterium
Lineage: Bacteria
Description: bacterial SSU rRNA
Rfam family: Bacterial small subunit ribosomal RNA
Source: RNAcentral